Molecule: unclassified non-coding RNA, 329 nt
Filed under: soil metagenome
Description: partial contains 5.8S ribosomal RNA, internal transcribed spacer 2, and large subunit ribosomal RNA
Rfam family: 5.8S ribosomal RNA (bases 1-120)
Source: RNAcentral
GAUGAAGAACGUAGCGAAAUGCGAUAAGUAAUGUGAAUUGCAGAAUUCAGUGAAUCAUCGAAUCUUUGAACGCACAUUGCGCCCCUUGGUAUUCCGAGGGGCAUGCCAGUUCGAGCGUCAUUAUAACCCCUCAAGCUCAGCUUGGUGUUGGGGCCUGCUGCACUGGCAGCCCUUAAAAUCAGUGGCGGCGCCAUCUGGCUCUAAGCGUAGUAAUUCUUCUCGCUAUGGAGUCCUGGUGGAUGCUUGCCAUCAACCCUCAAUUUUUCUAUGGUUGACCUCGGAUCAGGUAGGGAUACCCGCUGAACUUAAGCAUAUCAAUAAGCGGAGGA